GACGAACGCUGGCGGCGUGCUUAACACAUGCAAGUCGAACGAUGAAGCCGGAGCUUGCUCCGGUGAAUUAGUGGCGAACGGGUGAGUAACACGUGAGUAACCUGCCCUUGACUCUGGGAUAACUGCGGGAAACUGUAGCUAAUACCGGAUACGACCCUCGGAGGCAUCUCCUGGGGGUGGAAAGAAUUUCGGUCAAGGAUGGACUCGCGGCCUAUCAGCUAGUUGGUGAGGUAAAGGCUCACCAAGGCGACGACGGGUAGCCGGCCUGAGAGGGUGACCGGCCACACUGGGACUGAGACACGGCCCAGACUCCUACGGGAGGCAGCAGUGGGGAAUAUUGCACAAUGGGCGCAAGCCUGAUGCAGCAACGCCGCGUGAGGGAUGACGGCCUUCGGGUUGUAAACCUCUUUUAGCAGGGAAGAAGCGAAAGUGACGGUACCUGCAGAAAAAGCACCGGCUAACUACGUGCCAGCAGCCGCUGUAA
RNAcentral lists this ribosomal RNA (484 nucleotides) under uncultured bacterium. RNAcentral's name for it is "partial 16S ribosomal RNA". It matches the Rfam family "Bacterial small subunit ribosomal RNA", at positions 28 to 523 of the family's 1533-position model. The record is from RNAcentral.